UCUUAUCAAGAGUGACGGAGGGAUCUGGCCCUAUGAAGUCCGGCAACCGCGGAGAGCAGCGGUGCCAAAUCCAGCAGGUGUGACCUGAAAGAUGAGG
This 97-nucleotide non-coding RNA is filed under the name bovine gut metagenome. RNAcentral describes it as "SAM riboswitch (S box leader)". It matches the Rfam family "SAM riboswitch aptamer (S box leader)". From Rfam's summary of the family: The SAM riboswitch is found upstream of a number of genes which code for proteins involved in methionine or cysteine biosynthesis in Gram-positive bacteria. The record is from RNAcentral. RNAcentral also lists the same sequence under 1 other name.